GCAGUCGAACGAAGUAGCAAUACUUAGUGGCAGACGGGUGAGUAACAUGUGGGCAUCUGCCCUUCGGCCUGGAAUAACACGAGGAAACUUGUGCUAAUACCGGAUAAGUCUUUACGGAGAAAGCUUUAUGCACCAUUGGAUGAGCCCGCACUUGAUUAGUUUGUUGGUAGGGUAAUGGCCUACCAAGACUGUGAUCAAUAGCUGAUUUGAGAGGAUGAUCAGCCACAUUGGGACUGAGACACGGCCCAAACUCCUACGGGAGGCAGCAGUGGGGAAUCUUGCACAAUGGAGGAAACUCUGAUGCAGCGAUGCCGCGUGAGUGAAGAAGGCCCUUGGGUUGUAAAGCUCUUUCGUCGGGGAAGAAAAUGACUGUACCCGAAUAAGAAGGUCCGGCUAACUUCGUGCCAGCAGCCGCGGUAAUACUAAGGGACCUAGCGUAGUUCGGAAUUACUGGGCUUAAAGAGUUCGUAGGUGGUUGAAAAAGUUGGUGGUGAAAUCCCAGAGCUUAACUCUGGAACUGCCAUCAAAACUUUUCAGCUAGAGUUUGAUAGAGGAAAGCAGAAUUUCUAGUGUAGAGGUGAAAUUCGUAGAUAUUAGAAAGAAUACCAAUUGCGAAGGCAGCUUUCUGGAUCAUUACUGACACUGAGGGACGAAAGCAUGGGUAGCGAAGAGGAUUAGAUACCCUCGUAGUCCAUGCCGUAAACGAUGUGUGUUAGACGUUGGAAAUUUAUUUUCAGUGUCGCAGCGAAAGCGAUAAACACACCGCCUGGGGAGUACGACCGCAAGGUUAAAACUCAAAUGAAUUGACGGGGACCCGCACAAGUAGUGGAGCAUGUGGUUUAAUUCGAAGAUACGCGCAGAACCUUACCAACACUUGACAUGUUCGUCGCGACUUUAAGAGAUUAAAGUUUUCGGUUCGGCCGGACGAAACACAGGUGCUGCAUGGCUGUCGUCAGCUCGUGUCGUGAGAUGUUGGGUUAAGUCCCGCAACGAGCGCAACCCUCACUUUUAGUUGCCAUCAUUAAGUUGGGCACUCUGAAAGAACUGCCAGUGAUAGCUGGAGAAAAAGGGGGGGAUGACGUCAAGUCCUCAUGGGCCCUU
This 1101-nucleotide ribosomal RNA is filed under the name uncultured bacterium. RNAcentral describes it as "bacterial SSU rRNA". It matches the Rfam family "Bacterial small subunit ribosomal RNA", at positions 57 to 1203 of the family's 1533-position model. The record is from RNAcentral.